Molecule: long non-coding RNA, 833 nt
Organism: Acanthopagrus latus (yellowfin seabream)
Lineage: Eukaryota; Metazoa; Chordata; Actinopteri; Spariformes; Sparidae
Exons: 4
Source: RefSeq, a predicted model, not a curated record
CAAGCGUAAGGCAUAACAACGUGCGUGGAAUAACAGCAUACAUUAAAAAAUAAUCUAAAAAAACAUCUUCAGAGCACGUUGCGGUGCACAAAAAGCUGAACAGAACCUCUCAAGUCCUCCCAAAGUCUAAUCACUGUAAAUGAAAACACCUGUGGCCGGACAGCUGGUGCGUGAAAAAUAUGCAAUAAUCUAAACACGAAGCACGAAUGGGAGGAAAGUUUUCUGCACGGGUGCCAAGUCACAGCGUCGUUUGAGCAGAAGUGACUGACAAAAAGUGAAGGUGAAAUGAAGACAACAUGACUGACUCCAGCAGGUCUGUCACACUGUCCCAGUAUCAGCAGGUACAGAAUGAGCCCUUAAUAUCGCUUUCUACAGUAGCCCAGAAGGGACAAACCAACCACUGGCCCCAGAAAGCUCCUGUUGCGUUGGGUGAGGCAAAGGAAUCUCGUUUAGAUGCCAAAGAAGUCACACACCUUUAGGCAAGAAAUCGGCAGCUUUCCUUCUUCGCGCUACGCUAAGAGAAGCUAAACAAGUGCCGGACCGAACCGUCUCCACACUGGACAGAGACCGAUGAUGCAACGUGAUGUCAGCCUUCUCGUCUGGCUUGCAGACUAAAAGCUGCGAGCUGACACGUGUUGGAGUUUUUUAAAUAUGUUUCCAGCCCGAUGAAAUAAAGGCCUUUUAUAUUUGUUCAACCACUGUGAGACCGGGAUCACUUAUGCCAUUUUUCUCUCUUGGCCAUUAGUCUUCCUUUCUGUUUUUUUAACAGAUCGCUGCUGUUGGCCAAUCACUGCUCUCACUCAUUAAUAUUAAAAAGACCGGCUGAAAUAACA